This 231-nucleotide unclassified non-coding RNA is filed under the name uncultured fungus. RNAcentral's name for it is "sequence contains ITS1". The record is from RNAcentral. Lineage: Eukaryota; Fungi.
GUAUUGUAUUGCGUUAAACGCGUCACAUUCCAUGAAACUUUAUUACAGUGUGUGUGUAAAGACAUAGAACCACAGCAAAGAGGACAGAGUCCCCCAGGCCAUAGAACUACAGAGGGUGCACAGGUGUGAGUGGAUGUGUAAACAGAGCGUGCACAUGCCCCCGUUUGAGGACCAGCAACAACUCGUGUUGACAAUUCAGUAAUGAUCCUUCCGCAGGUUCACCUACGGAAA